RNAcentral lists this ribosomal RNA (214 nucleotides) under uncultured bacterium. RNAcentral's name for it is "partial 16S ribosomal RNA". It matches the Rfam family "Bacterial small subunit ribosomal RNA", at positions 28 to 243 of the family's 1533-position model. The record is from RNAcentral.
GAUGAACGCUAGCGGCAGGCCUAAUACAUGCAAGCCGAACGGCAAGAUUUUCAGCAAUGGAAAUCCUAGAGUGGCGUAAGGGUGCGUAACACGUAUGCAAUCUGCCCUACAACAGGAGGAUAGCUCCCGAAAGGGAUUAAGACUCAUAAGAUCUUAGAGUGCAUCACUUAGAGAUUAAACUACCAGGGGUUGAGGAUGAGCAUGCGCANGAUUA